GACGAACGCUGGCGGCGUGCUUAACACAUGCAAGUCGAACGGAAAGGCCCUGCUUUUGUGGGGUGCUCGAGUGGCGAACGGGUGAGUAACACGUGAGUAACCUGCCCUUGACUUUGGGAUAACUUCAGGAAACUGGGGCUAAUACCGGAUAGGAGCUCCUGCUGCAUGGUGGGGGUUGGAAAGUUUCGGCGGUUGGGGAUGGACUCGCGGCUUAUCAGCUUGUUGGUGGGGUAGUGGCUUACCAAGGCUUUGACGGGUAGCCGGCCUGAGAGGGUGACCGGCGACAAGGGGACUGAGAGACGGCGCAGAGUCGUACGGGAGGCAGCAGUGGGGAAUAUUGCACAAUGGGAGGAAGCCUGAUGCAGAAACGCCGCGUGCGGGAUGACGGCCUUCGGGGUGUAAACCGCUUUCGCCUGUGACGAAGCGUGAGUGACGGUAAUGGGUAAAGAAGCACCGGCUAACUACGUG
This 468-nucleotide ribosomal RNA is filed under the name uncultured bacterium. RNAcentral describes it as "partial 16S ribosomal RNA". It matches the Rfam family "Bacterial small subunit ribosomal RNA", at positions 28 to 507 of the family's 1533-position model. The record is from RNAcentral.